Molecule: ribosomal RNA, 249 nt
Filed under: uncultured bacterium
Lineage: Bacteria
Description: partial 16S ribosomal RNA
Rfam family: Bacterial small subunit ribosomal RNA
Source: RNAcentral
UACGAAGGGGCUAGCGUUGCUCGGAAUUACUGGGCGUAAAGCGCACGUAGGCGGCUUUCUAAGUCGGGGUGAAAUCCUGGAGCUCAACUCCAGACUGCCUUCGAUACUGGAGAGCUCGAGUCCGGGAGAGGUGAGUGGAACUGCGAGUGUAGAGGUGAAAUUCGUAGAUAUUCGCAAGAACACCAGUGGCGAAGGCGGCUCACUGGCCCGGUACUGACGCUGAGGUGCGAAAGCGUGGGAGCGAACAGG